GCCCAGUUCUUGCCUGGAUCCUUGAGGGUCUUGGUAAGGAGCACCCAAUAGCAAAGCUCAGGGAGGCUUAGGACCUAAAAAACAGGUGCCUUCUACAGAGUGACUCCAGGGUCUGAAGUCAGCUCUUCAUUCCUUUGAGCCUGAUAUAUGAAGAAAAAGUAGGACACUUUGGUAUUUUACCUUCCUGUCCUCUCAAAAUAGGAGAAAAAAGAAUGGAAACAGGAAGGGACUAGUGGGGGAGUUUCAUGUUUUAAACAUGUCCAGUUUGAUGUUUCCUUCCAACUACAUAAAUUUCUCCCGGAUCAAUGAGGCAUUUAAGGGGCAGACAAGGAAGAGGACCCCUAUAGGGAGACCCCAAGAAAGGCACAUAAACGAAGAAAGGAGGUGAUAGUCCUGUUGAUCUUAGAGCCAGGCACCCUACAUGGCUUGUGAUUCCUCCCUGCCUUCAAUAUGCAAAAGGUUGGAGAGUUGGCUCAGGGGUUCCAGAGGAUCAGGGUUCAAUUCCCAGCACCAGUGUGGCAGCUUACAACUGUCUCUAACUCCAGUUCCAGGGGAUACAAUACCCUCACACAGACACACAUGCAGGCAAAGCAAAUAUUUAUUUUACAAAAAAUAAAAA
Molecule: long non-coding RNA, 619 nt
Filed under: Rattus norvegicus (Norway rat)
Lineage: Eukaryota; Metazoa; Chordata; Mammalia; Rodentia; Muridae
Description: long non-coding RNA NONRATT024909
Source: RNAcentral